AGAUCUAUGAGGUUAAAGUGGGUCUCAAGAUGUUGGCCCAAACUUGACAGAUUGAGGUUUAGAAUCGUCAGCAAAUCUUAAGUGGUAAAUAUAGGAGCCAAGUAGAUCAACUCAAAUGAGGCAACAGAAAUUUGAAUGAAGGAUUCAGCAUGGCCUCCAAAAAUCCUUAUAUCCCAAGAGAAGAAAGAGAACGUUGCAUGUGCAGGAAGAAAUUGCAAAGGAGCAACAACAACUGGGUUAUUGCUUCACCAUGUACCGAAGCUGGCACCUGCCACUGAUUGCUGAUGGGGCCACAGUUCAGAGCCUGCACACUGCCAUUAAAAGUCUAGCUUGGAAUGUCCUGGAUGAGCACAAGGACCACAGUGUUUCAUAGAUGUUCUGUGUUGGCCACAAUCAAUAGGAAAAGAGGAUGAUGUGCAGAAGAUGUGACGAGUUUACUACUGUUUCAAGCAUUUUCCAGUUCCUGUACUCUGGUCAGUGAUGCCAAUCGUGAUUAUAGCAGAAUCAUUAUGUCCAGGUAACAGAGAUCAUACAUGGCUAUAUAAUCAAUCAGGCAAUGGAAUGAUUGUGACCUGCAAUGAUGGCUGUAAUAAUAUAUACAGCUGUUGAUAUGCUGCGUGGGAAGGAAUAAUUGAAGCUUUCUCUUUUAUUUCCCUGCUUUAUUUCUUGUCCCUCUCCUCUCUCCACCCUUCAAAGAUACAUGGUCCUUGAGAGAGAGAGAGAAAGAGAGAGAGAGAUGGAGGUGGGGGUAAGAUCCUCCUCCACUCCAAAAGAAAGGAAAAGAUGCAGAUGCAUGGCCCCCUUCACAUGGGAAAGAGUGCUCUUGUAUCAUAUGGGAAUUGCACAGGAGCCACUUCUCUUUUGCUUCUCUUCUUUCCCAAAGUUGCCUUCUUUGCUUCCUAGUGCUUCUACUUGACUCCUUUUUCCUCCUUUAGGCUUCGUGGAUUAUCUGGCUAAAGCUAAUCCACUCCCUUGCAUGCAUGGGUCACUUUGAAUUCAUCCAUGGCAUCUGAAACCUCCCUUUUAGGGUGGGGGGGUGCUCUGUGGCUAGUUGGUAAGCACCUCCUCCUCGAAGCCAAGGAGAAGAAGGGUAGCCAUUUGACAAGUCACCAUCUGAGACUUUUGUGACGGUGGUGUAAGAAGCAUGUGAAGUUUGCCACCAAGCAAUGUGAUGAAUGCUAGUGGAUUGAGAGAAGAUCCAAUGAGAUAUCUUGAAUGGCCACAUGAAAUGGUCAGUCGUGAUAUUGAUGCCCAUCUAAGAUCUUUCUCCAAUGGCAAAUGGCCCCUGAACAGUCUCUCUCUCUCUCUCUCUCUCUCUCUCUCUCUCUCUCUCUCUCUGUCAAGUGCAGAGAAGCAAGAACUACCUUGUCGGGCAACGGUAAACCUCUCCGUUUCCUUCACAAGAGAUCAAACAGCAUGUAGCGACAAUUCAAGCAGGACGAUAGGGAAGAAAUGAAGUCACGAGACUCGCAAGACAACCACAAGAAGAACAGAAGACGGAAAGCAUAGUUUUCUAGAUGGAUGAUUGGACAUCGAGUGAGUACAAGAGACAAAUCAAACUAGUAAGUAAUGUGCCCAUCAUUUUCGAUAUCAGCACGUCGAUCACCGCACCCCAUGCAGUGGUGCUGCCUGCGACAAAGCCGGUCUUCAGUUCAAGGAGAGAAGGAAUGACCGCCAAAGGCCUUCAAAAGCCGAGGCACUAACACAGGCCUCUUUAGCUUUAACUAAAGAAUGGUGCGCUUCGCCUCACACCCCUCAUUUUACACUGGGAAAGCAGGCGAUGAACGUGCUCGGCCAAAGGAAAAGACAAAAAGAGAGAAAGAGAGCUUCGAAUUAAAGAGGAGGAGAAAACAAAGCGAGAACACAUCAUUCUUUUCUUCCCUCCAUUCUUUGAAGAGAUCAUCGCUCUGGCUCGGAGGACAAGAGAGGAUCUUUGGAAGGUGCCAUGUCUCACCCUUUGCGUUGGCAAUGAAUGACACGAGAGAAACUAAAGUCUCGAUGCGUGCACACUUCCCCAGUUUGAUGGCAGAAGCCUUCCUUGCUCGCCCGGAUGCCCCUGCCCAGCCACCAUAGGCUUUCUUUUAGACUUCUCUAAUGCAUGUCCUUCUUCUCUCUUAAUGUGCAGGAAUCAACAUGUCGAAGCUGAACACUUCACAUCACACAGAGAAACUCGUAUUGAUUGCUUGUAACGAGAUGGACAUCUGCUUCUUUCUCGCUCGAGCUUUGCCACUUUGAACUCAGUGGAAGAAUCCUCGCCUUUUCCUUUUGUCUUGUGCCGCUUCUUUGGAGUUGCAACGUCCACAGCAUGCUUUGUUCACGUUGCAAAAGGAGCCACCGCUGCAAAAGAGACACUCAAGGAGGCGACGAGCAGUGCGAACGAGAUUAGAGAUAAUGCAUGGGCAAGAAAUGAUCAAACAAUAAUUAGCGUAAAAUAAAAUAUAGGAGGUGAUGAGUAGUGUCUUCUUUCUGUUUUUUAAGGUGCUCGAGUCCAAGCAUCUUCUUUCCGUUCUAAAAGCAUAUGAUAGUGGAAUGCCGAUUUGGGUCUACACAAUCCCACUAGUUUAGCUUCAUGGAUUAUGGAGACACUGCUGUCGAAGAAAAAGAUGAUUAUGGACUCGACCACACCAGUCUUUUUUGUGCUCAUAGAAACUAACAUCAAUCGAUCAGACAAUGAUGUGAUGGAGCAUUUGUCAUCAUUUCUAGCAUUAUUAGCUAAGUCACAGAUGAUGGAUCACCGAAGGCUGCCUCGCCUGUGUUGUUCCAUCAUGCUGCUGUCAGGCAGCCUUCGGAAAAGGGUUGACAACCAUCAAUAAUGUUGAAACAGUGGAAGUAUCAGUCUCAUUCAUGUCAUAUCUGCAUCUCGAGUGGCAUAUCGACAAUCACACUCUUUCCACCGCCGUGGCUGAUUCUGAUCUCGUCUCCUUCCAUGGGUGGAUGCAUUGCAAUUGCAAAAGAGUCAAUUUCAGAUGAAGAAUCUCGUUAUCUUAACGUAUGCUAAGAUGCAUCAUUAUACACUGCUCGAAGCCUGCGUAGAAAUUGAAGGAGGUGCAGAAACUGAGAGGGAUUGAAUCGUCUGACAAGGUGAUCAAUGCUUUUGGGCCCUGGAGAAAUGAUACAAGGCAAAGCAUUAAUGAAGGGAGAAGAAGAAGAGCACGCAGGUAGAGCCGGCUGCCUCAUCUGCUAAUUGCAGCAACUGCCGCUGCCGGAAACUGACUCCAUCAGUUCAUCAAGGCGAGCAGAGACUGGCAGCACGGUACCUAAGCCUUCUUUGAACAGGAACAGGAACAGGAACAGGAACAGGUCAUGGAUCUCGAAAGUUUGGAAAGCUGCCUCCUGCUGCAGGUCUUCACUGGAAGAGACAACAUAAGUACUUGGGACAGAUUGCGGACCCUUUUGGUGUCAUUUACCAGUUCAUGCAGAAAUUAUGGUCAGAUGCUCUUCUACUUUGUCAGAGUGGAGAUUCUGGACAAGAUUUGGAUACAGUGCUCGGUCAUCAGUGUCAAAUAAAUAAACAUUCAAAGAUGUUCUUGCACUGAAUUCUGAUGGGUAAUUACAGUAUUUUUUAGA
Musa acuminata AAA Group (dessert banana) is the source of this 3567-nucleotide long non-coding RNA. RefSeq lists it as uncharacterized. NCBI's taxonomy places the organism in Eukaryota, Viridiplantae, Streptophyta, Magnoliopsida, Zingiberales, Musaceae. The transcript has 3 exons. The record is from RefSeq and is a predicted model, not a curated record.